UGACCUCAGCUCAGUCGUGAUUACCCGCUGAAUUUAAGCAUAUAAUUAAGCGGAGGAAAAGAAACUAACGAGGAUUCCCAUAGUAACGGCGAGUGAAAGGGGAAGAGCCCAGCGCUGAAUCCAUCGAUCACUGGUCGCUUGGAAUUGUAGCGUAUAGGUGCGGCUAUCCGCUCGUUUCGUGCACCCAAAGUCCCCUUGAGCGGGGCCAUAGUCCAAAGAAGGUGCUAGACCUGUACGGGUGGCGAGGCGGUCGGUUGGUCGCUCCUUGGAGUCGGGUUGCCUGGGAUCGCAGCCCAAAGUUGGUGGUAGACCUCAUCUAAGGCUAAAUAUGGCCACGAAACCGAUAGCAAACAAGUACCGUGAGGGAAAGUUGCAAAGAACUUUGAAGAGAGAGUUCAAGAGGGCGUGAAACCGCCGAGAUUGAAACGGAUAGAGUUGACGAAACUCGAUCGCAUUCAUCCGAUCCGCCUAGCGGUUCGGCGGUUGUUGACUUCCUCGAUGAGGGCAACGCCGUCGCUGGCUGUUGGGUGUUAGAUUGGUGUAUUUGCGGUCGGUAUGCGCCGAGAGCUUUGCGAGCGCAUGUUGACGUUGAUGUAGUGGACCACUCCCUCCGGGCGUGGAACCCUGCAUUGAUUGAGGCAUGUCGUUCGUAGGGUGUUGCUGGGUGACGUCUCCGCUAUGGUGGGUCGGCUUUGUUGGGCUGUUGCGGUUGCUGGGUGAUCGCAUGCGAGCGCCUGCAGCUUGCGAUGGUACGAUGAGGUGCGGACGCGCUUGAGACGUGCAUCUCGGUGUGAACGUUGACCACCUAUCCGACCCGUCUUGAAACACGGACCAAGGAGUCUAGCAUAUGCGCGAGUCAUUGGGUGGUAAACCUAAAGGCGUAAUGAAAGUAAAGGUCGUCUUGUUACGGCUGAUAUGGGAUCUGUGCGGUUUUCGAGCCACGCAGCGCACCAUAGCCCCGUCCCGGUUGCUUGCAAUGGGGCGGAGGUAGAGCGCAUACGCUGGGACCCGAAAGAUGGUGAACUAUGCCUGAGCAGGAUGAAGCCAGAGGAAACUCUGGUGGAAGUCCGAAGCGGUUCUGACGUGCAAAUCGAUCGUCUGACUUGGGUAUAGGGGCGAAAGACUAAUCGAACCAUCUAGUAGCUGGUUCCCUCUGAAGUUUCCCCCAGGAUAGCUGGAGUUUAUUGCUGGCAGUUAUAUUCGGUAAAGCGAAUGAUUAGAGGAAUUGGGGACGAAACGACCUCAACCUAUUCUCAAACUUUCAAUGGGUAUGAAGUCCCGCUUGCUUGACGUUGCUGAAGCGAGGACAUUGAAUGUGAGCUCCAAGUGGGCCAUUUUUGGUAAGCA
RNAcentral lists this ribosomal RNA (1347 nucleotides) under Pseudoterranova decipiens (codworm). Its description in RNAcentral is "eukaryotic LSU rRNA". It matches the Rfam family "Eukaryotic large subunit ribosomal RNA", at positions 1 to 1146 of the family's 3401-position model. Lineage: Eukaryota; Metazoa; Nematoda; Chromadorea; Rhabditida; Anisakidae. The record is from RNAcentral.